UGAGGAAUAUUGGUCAAUGGGCGAGAGCCUGAACCAGCCAAGUAGCGUGCAGGAUGACGGCCCUACGGGUUGUAAACUGCUUUUAUGAAGGAAUAAAGUCACCCACGUGUGGGUGUUUGCAUGUACUUUAUGAAUAAGGACCGGCUAAUUCCGUGCCAGCAGCCGCGGUAAUACGGAAGGUCCGGGCGUUAUCCGGAUUUAUUGGGUUUAAAGGGAGCGUAGGCCGUCUGGUAAGCGUGUUGUGAAAUGUCGUUGCUCAACAACGUCACUGCAGCGCGAACUGCCGGGCUUGAGUGUGCGGAAAGCGGGCGGAAUUUGUGGUGUAGCGGUGAAAUGCUUAGAUAUCACGAAGAACUCCGAUUGCGAAGGCAGCUCACGGGAGCGCAACUGACGCUGAAGCUCGAAAGUGCGGGUAUCGAACAGGAUUAGAUACCCUGGUAGU
Molecule: ribosomal RNA, 442 nt
Filed under: uncultured Prevotella sp.
Lineage: Bacteria; Pseudomonadati; Bacteroidota; Bacteroidia; Bacteroidales; Prevotellaceae
Description: bacterial SSU rRNA
Rfam family: Bacterial small subunit ribosomal RNA
Source: RNAcentral